UACGUAGGGCGCAAGCGUUAUCCGGAAUUAUUGGGCGUAAAGAGCUCGUAGGCGGUUUGUCGCGUCUGCCGUGAAAGUCCGGGGCUCAACUCCGGAUCUGCGGUGGGUACGGGCAGACUAAGUGAUGUAGGGGAGACUGGAAUUCCUGGUGUAGCGGUGAAAUGCGCAGAUAUCGGGAGGAACACCAGUGGCGAAAGCGCCUUGCUGGGCCAGUACUGACACUGAGGAACGAAAGCCAGGGGAGCGAAAGGG
This 252-nucleotide ribosomal RNA is filed under the name uncultured bacterium. RNAcentral's name for it is "partial 16S ribosomal RNA". It matches the Rfam family "Bacterial small subunit ribosomal RNA", at positions 524 to 776 of the family's 1533-position model. The record is from RNAcentral.